GCCGGAGUGGCGGAAUUGGUAGACGCAAGGGACUUAAAAUCCCUCGUCAGCAAUGAUGUACCGGUUCGAGUCCGGUCUCCGGCACCA
Molecule: transfer RNA, 87 nt
Filed under: Nitrospirae bacterium GWC2_42_7
Lineage: Bacteria; Pseudomonadati; Nitrospirota
Description: tRNA-Leu
Rfam family: tRNA
About the family: Transfer RNA (tRNA) molecules are approximately 80 nucleotides in length.
Source: RNAcentral